RNAcentral lists this ribosomal RNA (322 nucleotides) under uncultured eukaryote. RNAcentral's name for it is "partial 18S ribosomal RNA". It matches the Rfam family "Eukaryotic small subunit ribosomal RNA", at positions 1470 to 1796 of the family's 1831-position model. The record is from RNAcentral.
CCCUUAGAUGUUCUGGGCCGCACGCGUGCUACAAUGAGUGGAUCAGCGGGUCAGGUUGCGCGAAAGUGUUUCCUAAUCUUGAAAUCCGCUCGUGAUGGGGAUUGACGGUUGCAAUUUUCCGUCAUGAACGAGGAAUACCUUGUAAGCGCGGGUCAUCAUCCCGCGCUGAAUACGUCCCUGCCCUUUGUACACACCGCCCGUCGCUCCUACCGAUUGAGUGGUCCGGUGAGGCUUUGGGAUCUGAGCGGAAAGAGCGUUUCGCUGUUUCUGCUCGGAAAACUCAGUCGAACCUUAUCAUUUAGAGGAAGGAGAAGUCGUAACA